AUUCGACAUCGUGCUUAAUUUUAACUUAGAGGUGAUUGUCACCGAAGUUAAAGGACUAAAGUCGCUCGCAGCCAACCGGAUCGUCUACUGCACGAUGGAGGUCGAGGGCGGAGAAAAACUGCAAACGGAUAUGGCAGAAGCAGCAAAGCCCAUGUGGGAUACCCAAGGCGAUUUCACGACUUCGCACCCCUUACCCAUCGUAAAGGUCAAGUUAUACACAGAGAGCCCUGGUCUGCUCUCUUUGGAUGACAAGGAAUUAGGAAAAGUGCAAAUACGCCCUACACCGAUGGGAGGGAAGUGCGGCGCCGAGUGGUACCGAAUGCAGGCACCAAAAAAUGCCCCAGAUCAAGAUCUUCAGAUCCGGAUUACGAUACGUAUGGAGAGGCCGCAGAAUAUGAAACACGCCGGCUACCUUUACGCGCAAGGGCGGAACGUCUGGAAAAAAUGGAAGAAGCGAUACUUUGUGCUCGUCCAGGUUUCUCAGUACACUUUUGCCAUGUGCUCAUACCGAGAGAAGAGCUCGUCACCAAACGAACUAAUGCAGUUGGACGGCUACACGGUCGACUACACCCCCGAUGAAGCGGCGCCGCCCGGCGAGGGGGGGCGGUUCUUUUUCAAUGCGGUACGCGAGGGCGAUGCCGUGGCAUUCGGCUCCGUUGAAGAGGCCGAUUGCCACCUGUGGGUCCAGGCGCUUUACCGCGCAACCGGACAGGCUCACAAGCCGAGCCCGCCCACACGUGCCCACACAAGUCAACCGCCAACGGCCGCCCGAAACGCGCAUAUCACGCGCGUUCACGGCGACACCGAACGGGCGCGACGUCAUGGCAUGGAGGAGCUGAUCUCGGCUGAUCCCAACCGCUUCGACCACCACGCUUUGUUUCGACACCUGCAGACGCUCACCUUGGACUAUCGACUAGCCGACCCCUACUGCUCACUCGGCUGGUUCAGCGCGGGCCAACUCUUUGUCAUCGAUGAGUACACGGCUCGCUAUAUGGUGAGGUCCUGCUUUCGACACCUGUGCUACCUGAGCGACCUGCUUGAGAGGGCGGAACGAGGGAUAAUGAUCGAUCCCACACUCAUCCACUAUUCAUUUGCAUUCUGUUCAUCGCAUGUGCACGGAAAUAGCGUUGCACCCCCUGGAACAGUGGUUACUGAUAUCAGGGAAGCUGUGUUGGCCAUAGAGGAAAAGCCCGAUCAAGCGGGCACGUCGAGUACUGAACCCGAGUUCAAACCCGAUGGCAUCGGAACGGUCACUGUCGAGGAAAAAGACAUGUUUAAUAAUAUCAAGGACAGACUAAAAGUUCUCCUUGAACAUCAAAUCACCCACUUUAGAUACUGCUUCCCAUUCGGAAGACCUGAAGGUGCGUUGAAAGCGACGUUGUCUCUGCUGGAGCGGGUGUUGAUGCGGGACGUAAUGACGCCCGCGCCCCCUGAGGAGGUCCGUGGAAUAAUCAAGAAGUGCCUCGAGAAUGCCGCGCUCGUUAAUUACACGAAAAUAUCUGAGCAGGCGAAAAACAUGCCCAAAACAGCCGGCGGUAGCGAUCCGGCGCUCCGUCAGCAGCAUGAUGAAUAUGCGAUCAUGGACAUGGGCCAACCGCCGACCAAAAGGCUUGAGGACCUUAUUCACUUAGCAGAGCUCUGCGUCGACCUUCUGCAGCAAAACAAUGAACAUUACGCUGAGACCUUCCGCUCGGUGAGUGUCGCCCUCGACUGCAAAAAGUCCGGAAAAAACGUGGAUCGGGCAUUUGCGUGGUUCAGUGAUCUGCUCGUAGAACACGCCGAGAUCUUCUGGUCCUUAUUUGCCGUGGAUAUGGAUGCUGUGUUGGAGGACCAACCCGCGGACACCUGGGACUCCUUCCCCCUCUUCCAGGUUCUAAAUGAUUACCUUCGCAUGGACGAGAACCUGAGUGGAGGGCGAUUUCACCAACACCUACGGGACGCUUUCGCCCCGCAGGUGGUGCGAUACGUGGAUCUCAUGGAAGCUUCGAUAGCACAGUCCCUGCAAAAAGGCUUCGAAAAGGAGAAAUGGGAAGUCAAAGGUCAAGCUGGCUGUGCUACCUCGGAAGAAUUGUUCUGGAAACUGGGGGCCUUACAAAGUUUCAUACGCGAUCUUCACUGGCCGGACGCCGAGUUCGCGAAACAUCUGGAGCAACGACUCAAGCUCAUGGCUUUCGAUAUGCUCGAAGCCACCGUAAACGGAACGGUCCAAGCUUUCCAGAUGUGGCAGAGAAAAGGUGCAAAUCCAGCAGGUAAGUUGCUGGGCACUGCGGUCGCGGGGGCAGGAGGAACCUCCACAGAAUGGCUCGUGCCCUCCGAGAUGUGCGCAAUGAUCAACGUUGUUCUCGAGACGCGGAGUCAGUCGUUGAAGCUGUGUACGGUCGAUGGCGCCGACAUUCAUCAAUACCAUGCCAAAAUCGAUCAGUUGUGCGACGGCGCUAUGCAAGAUAUGCAAGGAGGGCUACUGGCCAAGCUGGACUCGAUCAUGGAAUCGACGCUAUCCAAGUUAUCACGCUACGAUGAAGGAAGUCUCCUCGCCCCUAUUCUAUCUCUUACGUAUCGACAAGGCAUGUCAAGUUCAGGCAAAGAAGUAGGACAAUGCUACGUGAACUUCGUGCGGAACAGCAUGGAGCAGCUACGGCAAAAAGUCUCGGAUGAACUAUGGGUGCUUAACCUAUUCGAGCUGUGGUACUCGUCACAGAUGAGUAUGCUGUGCGCAUGGCUCUCGGAACGGAUGGAACACGGCCUCCAUUCACUUCAGCUGUCUGCGCUGCUUCAAAUCGCCCGCAAGCUCUACUCCGACUUCGAGCUACAGGGAAUCGAGGAGGAGAAGCUCAACUCGAAGACGUACCAGACGAUAUGCUCGCGCUUACAAUUAGAAGAGGCAGCCGCCUCUGUACAGGACGUCGCCAGGGAAAAGGACGAUGCCGAGGACUUCACCGGGGAAAACGCUGGCAGGCCAACGACGACGAAUGCCGCGGCGAGCAGCGACCUUCCAGGUGGUCAGGGUUCCCCGCUUAAUAGAGUCCAGAACGUCACCCAAAAUCUCACUGGAAGAGUUUCGGCACUUACCCGUGGUGUGGGUGGUCUUGCGAACAAGUUUUCUAGACUCGGCGGGUUCUUUUGAUGGCAUCCUGUCCCAUUCCCAGACGCGAGCGCCUCUAGUUGCUACUGCUAUUACAACAGCGAUUUCUUCUGCAAUUAUGGAGAUGCUGAUAUAGCGGAAAUCGAGAUAAAGAGAGGAUUCACGAACAAAUCACUCACAACAUGUUGGUGGUAUGAAUCAUGCUACUGGUUCAACAUAGAACUAUCGUCGGCAAUCUUGACCACGGGUCGACAAUCGUCUCUAGUUCAGCUACGAUUAAAUAUUGUUGCUUCAUUGAGCUGAAUAACUAAUGAGGUCCAUAGGGGUGCUCGGUAUGGCCUGCUAUUGCUCGGGCAACUCGAGUACGCGACGAAAUUUCAACAUUGAACUAAUAUGUCUUUGGUGGCUCCGUAGCGUAGUGGGAAAAGUUGACAUUUGCAUAUGUUACUCAUUCGCUUAUAGACGAAACGAAACAUUUCGAAGAUGGGUGCGCCAAAAAAGAACUGUUAAUAGUAAUUUAUUUUAUGGUAGUUAAGAACGAGAGAGUUAUAUAUUCAUAGAAAGCGGAAAGCACAAAAGCAAACUCUAGAGGACCGCGAACUCUCGGAUUAUAAAAGCAAUGAAUAGUCAGACCGGCUUCGUCGGUCGACUUUUUGCCUCAAAGGUUGUUAGUGUAAGCCGAUCGCCUUAAUUUCGACCAUUGGGAAAGCAUCGAGAUGCAAAUAAUUGUUCUCUAAACUAAUUGUUCUCUGUUACAAAUUAUCAUGUCUACCAGACAACAAUACGUAUUACGAAUAAAAGUGACAGUUAGCCAUCUUGAAUACGCGCCGGCCGUUCAAGACCAAAACGAUGUUCUUGUAAACAACAACGGAACGUGCACGUUCGCUUCGGGUGGCCGUCGUGCGAACGGAAGAGAUCGUCUACUUGGCUGGUGAUCACUAGAGCCACUGGGCCAACUUAUCUUGGUCAUCAAACCGGAUAACUCAAAGCCACUGCGUCAUUGCACGGAACUGUCCUACUAAAUAUUCGUACAUUGUGUCGAAUGUAUUGUCGCUUCGUUCAGCUUCUAUCGGCUAUACUGCGUACGCUGGUCAACACCCUGUUCUGCUUCGAAUACCGGUACGGGUUCAUCUAACUAAAAUGCUGAAGUCAACUUUAUCGACAAAACGUGACACUAACAUCAAUACUGACUACGCUGAUUUCACGGAAGACCAACGCCGAGAAGUAUUAUGGCUAGAUCCUUCCCGAAGAAGAUAAUUAAAAUAUCGAUGCUUCUAACUAUACUUCUGCUAAUACACUUGACUCUAAUAAAUAAAGCGGAUUAAGCUAUUCUAGCACGAGCAUAUCGGACGCUCGUGGUUCGAAAAAAUCACCCACGAUUAGUAAAGAGGUCUAGCAGUUGUUGACGAUAGUACACGCACAGCUUAACAAAGCAGAGAAUCAAACAAAAAACUAUACAAAAAAUCGAAAUAUAAUGUAAACUUAAAGGGGGCAACCCCCGACAAAACAAGAAGCUAACGGACAUUUUUUUAAAUCAUGAUCAUUAUACGGAAAGGCAGCGAAACAGACGCCACCGCUAGAAUUUGCCAUGCCUUAACGCCAAGCAACAGGACACGCCGAUCGAUCAGCAGCCCCUGAGGGCAUUCGGAGAUAGAAACUACAACAGCGAACACAACACCAGCUGCAAUUACAAGAAAACAGACAUUAUAUAUACAUAUAUAUAUAUAUAUAUAUAUAUAUAUAUAUAUAUUAGAAAACGUACGUUAUAAUAAAAAUAACAACGACAAGGACAGACUCAUGUAUGUGGUGUACUGCUAUUUCUACGUGAGACAAACGCUAUUUGUCGCAGAGUUGACAUAGCGGAAAUGACGGCAUGUACGCAUUACACAAUGACAUAAAACGACAUUAAAUGGAAUCGCGUUCGGGCAAGCUAAAUAUUAUUUGGAAACAUGAGCUCGAUAAAACACGAGGCAAGAUAUAUAAGGGAAAUAAGGAAACGGUGAAUUACGUUACGGUGAAACGGAGCUGACUUUAUACACUGGAAGCUCUUAAUAUGCUCUUGUACCAAAUGCAAAGGUUCCUACCCAAAUAUAACAAGCAGCGUGUGAACGAAUAUGUUUGAACGAUUCGAUUGAUGGUACGACCAUUGCUGCUAAGAAAUGGCACGAGAGAAAAAGAUUUGAUAUUCCAAACAAACCUAGUAGAGAUGUGGGAACACGCAACGUCGAUACCUAAACCUUGUCUGCACAGUUUUACGGGACUACAAAUAUACAUAUAAUAGUUGGAAAGAAAAUUACCGCAUCACUUGGCUACAAAUGAAAAUAUAAACAGAGACAAGGUGAUCAGGUGGAAGAUCUAUUAUUGGAAUCAACUGUAUUAUUACUAAUAGAUUAUAUAUAUACCAUAACAUAGCAAGUGGCUAUACACGUAAAUAAAUAAACCC
This is a non-coding RNA of Varroa destructor (honeybee mite), 5525 nucleotides long. NCBI's taxonomy places the organism in Eukaryota, Metazoa, Arthropoda, Arachnida, Mesostigmata, Varroidae. The record is from RefSeq and is a predicted model, not a curated record.